CUGUUGAUGUUCCACUCGACGUUGUCGUAGCCUUCCUGGCUAGCACUCACCCUGAAAAGAGAAGAAUCAUGACGGGGGCAAAGGAGGAAGUCGGGAUCAUUAUUACAGCCAAACAAAGUCUGCAUAGGAAGGAGGUCCCCUAACUCAGACACAUAGUGUGUGGUUCGUAACGGUUUUGGAAGGCACAGUCUGUGACGUUCUAGAGGAUUUGGGGAACAAACAACGUACCUUGUAGUAUUAUAGGACUUCACAUUAUUGUCAUAUUCAUCAAGCCAUUCAGGGAAUCAUCUGGAUUCAUGAUAUUUUUACACUUAUUUUUUUUCUUUUUUAUGUUGUUGUUUUUGACUCCAGGUUCACCACUGAAACUGUAAUAAUAACAAAAGUUACUGCUUUUCAUUCUACUUACCUUUUCUUGUCAUUGUAAUUCAUUUGACUAUGCUUGUAUUAUUCUGUCCAUCUGAUUAAAUUAAAAUCAGU
This is a long non-coding RNA of Micropterus salmoides (largemouth bass), 477 nucleotides long. RefSeq lists it as uncharacterized. The transcript is spliced from 3 exons. Lineage: Eukaryota; Metazoa; Chordata; Actinopteri; Centrarchiformes; Centrarchidae. The record is from RefSeq and is a predicted model, not a curated record.